GUAGGUGGCAAGCGUUGUCCGGAUUUAUUGGGUUUAAAGGGUGCGUAGGCGGUCUAUUAAGUCAGUGGUGAAAUAUGGCAGCUUAACUGUCAGGGUGCCAUUGAUACUGAUGGACUUGAGUGAAGUCGAAGUAGGCGGAAUUGACGGUGUAGCGGUGAAAUGCUUAGAUAUCGUCAAGAACACCGAUAGUGAAGACAGCUUACUAGGCUUAUACUGACGCUGAGGCACGAAAGUGUGGGGAUCAAACAGGAUUAGAUACCCUGGUAGUCCACACUGUAAACGUUGAUGACUCGCUGUUGGCGAUAUACAGCCAGCGGCCAAGCGCAAGCGAUAAGUCAUCCACCUGGGGAGUACGCCGGCAACGGUGAA
This 369-nucleotide ribosomal RNA is filed under the name uncultured bacterium. RNAcentral describes it as "bacterial SSU rRNA". It matches the Rfam family "Bacterial small subunit ribosomal RNA", at positions 527 to 898 of the family's 1533-position model. The record is from RNAcentral.